This 355-nucleotide transfer RNA is filed under the name uncultured Microcystis sp. Its description in RNAcentral is "partial 16S-23S ribosomal RNA intergenic spacer". The stretch from base 133 to 206 matches the Rfam family "tRNA". Lineage: Bacteria; Bacillati; Cyanobacteriota; Cyanophyceae; Chroococcales; Microcystaceae. The record is from RNAcentral.
AAGGGAGACCUAAUUCGGGUAUAAGACGAAAAAAGAGUAGUCGAAACCAAGAAUCAAUCCCAAAAGGUCGGAACGAGGUAUGUGGCUUUCAAACUAGGUUCUGGGUUCACACAAGACCUGAAUCAGGAACAAGGGCUAUUAGCUCAGGUGGUUAGAGCGCACCCCUGAUAAGGGUGAGGUCCCUGGUUCGAGUCCAGGGUGGCCCACCUGCACAGGUGGCAAAAACAAAGAAGCGAGGAAUCAGCACCUUAUCUUAUCUAUAUAUAAGAGAGAAUGCUGGCUCUGAGUAAAGAGUCCAGAGGAACCUUGAAAACUGCAUAGAGCUAGGUGAAAAAGCCAAAAAAGAAGACCGCAA